RNAcentral lists this ribosomal RNA (515 nucleotides) under uncultured bacterium. RNAcentral's name for it is "bacterial SSU rRNA". It matches the Rfam family "Bacterial small subunit ribosomal RNA", at positions 405 to 919 of the family's 1533-position model. The record is from RNAcentral.
AGGAUGAAGGCCUAUGGGUUGUAAACUUCUUUUGUACGGGUAAAAAACCUUCUUACGUGUAAGAAGCUGAUUGUACUGUAAGAAUAAGGAUCGGCUAACUCCGUGCCAGCAGCCGCGGUAAUACGGAGGAUCCAAGCGUUAUCCGGAUUCAUUGGGUUUAAAGGGUGCGUAGGCGGAAUGAUAAGUCAGUGGUGAAAUCUCGCAGCUUAACUGCGAAACUGCCAUUGAUACUGUCAAUCUUGAGUACAUUUGAUGAGGGCGGAAUGUGUCAUGUAGCGGUGAAAUGCUUAGAUAUGACACAGAACACCGAUUGCGAAGGCAGCUCUCAAAACUGUAACUGACGCUGAGGCACGAAAGCGUGGGUAUCAAACAGGAUUAGAUACCCUGGUAGUCCACGCUGUAAACUAUGAUUACUCGAUGUUUGCGAUACACAGUAAGCGUCUAAGCGAAAGCGAUAAGUAAUCCACCUGGGGGAGUACGCUCGCAAGAGUGAAACUCAAAGGAAUUGACGGGGC